Molecule: ribosomal RNA, 450 nt
Filed under: uncultured bacterium
Lineage: Bacteria
Description: partial 16S ribosomal RNA
Rfam family: Bacterial small subunit ribosomal RNA
Source: RNAcentral
GUGGGGAAUCUUCCACAAUGGACGAAAGUCUGAUGGAGCAACGCCGCGUGAGUGAAGAAGGGUUUCGGCUCGUAAAGCUCUGUUGUCGGGGACGAAUGUGCAGUAUUUGAAUAAAGUACUGUAAUGACGGUACCUGACGAGGAAGCCACGGCUAACUACGUGCCAGCAGCCGCGGUAAUACGUAGGUGGCAAGCGUUGUCCGGAAUUAUUGGGCGUAAAGGGAGCGCAGGCGGGAAGGUAAGUCGGUCUUAAAAGUGCGGGGCUCAACCCCGUGAUGGGACAGAAACUGGUAUUCUUGAGUGUCGGAGAGGAAAGUGGAAUUCCAAGUGUAGCGGUGAAAUGCGUAGAGAUUUGGAAGAACACCAGUGGCGAAGGCGACUUUCUGGACGAUGUCUGACGCUGAGGCGCGAAAGCUAGGGGAGCGAACGGGAUUAGAAACCCCUGUAGUCC